Molecule: small nuclear RNA, 107 nt
Organism: Otolemur garnettii (small-eared galago)
Lineage: Eukaryota; Metazoa; Chordata; Mammalia; Primates; Galagidae
Source: Ensembl
GUGCUUGCUUUGGCAGCACAUAUACUAAAAUCAGAACAAUACAGAGAAGAUUAGCAUGGCUCCUGUGCAAGGAUGACACACAAAUUUGUGAAGCAUUCCAUAUUUUC